RNAcentral lists this small nucleolar RNA (128 nucleotides) under Sorex araneus (European shrew). RNAcentral describes it as "Small nucleolar RNA SNORA15 (ENSSARG00000019865.1)". Lineage: Eukaryota; Metazoa; Chordata; Mammalia; Eulipotyphla; Soricidae. The record is from RNAcentral.
UGUAAGAAUAGUAUUAGAUUUUCACACAGCCCAGAUACUACAAAAAGUAAAGUUUUCCCUUGAAAUGACUUUUGAUGGUAUGCUGGUUUUAUUUUCAUGGCAUAUCAUUAUUAAAAGGGGCUACCAAA